RNAcentral lists this transfer RNA (72 nucleotides) under Clerodendranthus spicatus. Its description in RNAcentral is "tRNA-Thr". The record is from RNAcentral. Lineage: Eukaryota; Viridiplantae; Streptophyta; Magnoliopsida; Lamiales; Lamiaceae.
GCCUUACCAUGGCGUUACUCUACCACUGAGUUAAAAGGGCUUAUUUGAUUUAAUUCCCGAACAAGUCACUAU